RNAcentral lists this small nuclear RNA (106 nucleotides) under Fasciola hepatica (liver fluke). The record is from RNAcentral. Lineage: Eukaryota; Metazoa; Platyhelminthes; Trematoda; Plagiorchiida; Fasciolidae.
CCGCCGGUCAAACGCUUCACGAUUUGCGUGUCACCCGUGCGCAGGGGCCAUGCUAAUCUUCUUUGCAUCAUUUCAAUUCUAGUAUAUGUACCUCCGAAGCAAGUAC